Molecule: ribosomal RNA, 1347 nt
Filed under: uncultured bacterium
Lineage: Bacteria
Description: partial 16S ribosomal RNA
Rfam family: Bacterial small subunit ribosomal RNA
Source: RNAcentral
GACGAACGCUGGCGGCGUGCUUAACACAUGCAAGUCGAACGGAAAGGCCCUGCUUUUGUGGGGUGCUCGAGUGGCGAACGGGUGAGUAACACGUGAGUAACCUGCCCUUGACUUUGGGAUAACUUCAGGAAACUGGGGCUAAUACCGGAUAGGAGCUCCUGCUGCAUGGUGGGGGUUGGAAAGUUUCGGCGGCUGGGGAUGGACUCGCGGCUUAUCAGCUUGUUGGUGGGGUAGUGGCUUACCAAGGCUUUGACGGGUAGCCGGCCUGAGAGGGUGACCGGCCACAUUGGGACUGAGAUACGGCCCAGACUCCUACGGGAGGCAGCAGUGGGGAAUAUUGCACAAUGGGCGGAAGCCUGAUGCAGCAACGCCGCGUGCGGGAUGACGGCCUUCGGGUUGUAAACCGCUUUCGCCUGUGACGAAGCGUGAGUGACGGUAAUGGGUAAAGAAGCACCGGCUAACUACGUGCCAGCAGCCGCGGUGAUACGUAGGGUGCGAGCGUUGUCCGGAUUUAUUGGGCGUAAAGGGCUCGUAGGUGGUUGAUCGCGUCGGAAGUGUAAUCUUGGGGCUUAACCCUGAGCGUGCUUUCGAUACGGGUUGACUUGAGGAAGGUAGGGGAGAAUGGAAUUCCUGGUGGAGCGGUGGAAUGCGCAGAUAUCAGGAGGAACACCAGUGGCGAAGGCGGUUCUCUGGGCCUUUCCUGACGCUGAGGAGCGAAAGCGUGGGGAGCGAACAGGCUUAGAUACCCUGGUAGUCCACGCUGUAAACGGUGGGUACUAGGUGUGGGGUCCAUUCCACGGGUUCCGUGCCGUAGCUAACGCUUUAAGUACCCCGCCUGGGGAGUACGGCCGCAAGGCUAAAACUCAAAGGAAUUGACGGGGCCCCGCACAAGCGGCGGAGCAUGCGGAUUAAUUCGAUGCAACGCGUAGAACCUUACCUGGGUUUGACAUGGAUCGGGAGUGCUCAGAGAUGGGUGUGCCUCUUUUGGGGUCGGUUCACAGGUGGUGCAUGGCUGUCGUCAGCUCGUGUCGUGAGAUGUUGGGUUAAGUCCCGCAACGAGCGCAACCCUUGUUCACUGUUGCCAGCACGUUAUGGUGGGGACUCAGUGGAGACCGCCGGGGUCAACUCGGAGGAAGGUGGGGAUGACGUCAAGUCAUCAUGCCCCUUAUGUCCAGGGCUUCACGCAUGCUACAAUGGCUGGUACAGAGAGUGGCGAGCCUGUGAGGGUGAGCGAAUCUCGGAAAGCCGGUCUCAGUUCGGAUUGGGGUCUGCAACUCGACCUCAUGAAGUCGGAGUCGCUAGUAAUCGCAGAUCAGCAACGCUGCGGCGAAAAGGUUCNCCGGGGCU